AUCCUCCUUGGAAAAUUAGUUAUGGCCUCCUGCAAUGGCACAUGAGAAUCUUUAUGAUGGCACCAACCUAAUAUUUCAAGCACUUAAGAACAUAUCAUCCUCCUUGUUAGGUUACAAACCAAAAUCAAAUCUUAGGAUUCCUUUCAAGAAAGCAUUCAAAUGUGGCUUCAACAUCCAACAUCAAUUCUACAGCAGAUGGGCUAAUAGGAAUCCCGCCAGAUGGAGUCACAAGAGCAUCCACCAAUACAUCAUGCAGAGUUACUGGUAUAACUCCUUCAUCCAUGAUUUGCAGAGAAUAAGACAGUCCAACAAAAAGAGGAUCCUUCCAAUUCCUCUCCCUUGCUAGCUCUUGAUACUUCCUCAAAAAGGUGUCAUAGUAACCUCCACCACGGCCCAAGCGUCUUCCAGAUUUGUCAAAAGUGAGUCCAGGCAGGAGGAACAAAUCAACCGGGACAUUUGCCUGCAUUACAUCUUCCCGCACAUUUCCAACAUGAUCUUCUGGAGCAGGUUCUAAAAUAUUCAUUGAGUUUGCAAUUAGAUCAUCCAUGCUUGAGAUGUUGAGCAUUCGCAUAUGACUAUUCUUGUCCUCCACCCUCGGAACAUAAAGCUUUUUUCCAGUCUGAGCACAACCAUCUUUGGCCGGAUUCCGCAGAAUUUCCGUCAACAAUUUCGACGUAUCAACCUCCCGUAGAGAGGUGCAACUUAUAUAAGCACAUAAACUCCGGCUAGACUUGAACCAUGGAGCUUCUAAGACAAUACUCUGGAUUGCAUUGUCUUCUUGGGAUCGGAGGGACGGAUCCAUGAACUUGAGGGCCUUGCGGACUUGGGUUCGAAGAAUCCCUUUUUGCUUGAAUAUUUCGUUGAGAUGGGUGGAUUGAUCAAGGUCGGUGCUCAUGGUGACGUUUGGGCGGAGGCAGGCGGGACGGGAGGGGAGGAUUCGUGGCGGUGGUGACAGUAGUGAAGUUGGUUGAAUCAUGAGCGCAGCCUUGACCCUUGGCGUUGGGUUGGAGGCAAGCCAUCUUGUCCACAUUUU
RNAcentral lists this unclassified non-coding RNA (1033 nucleotides) under Hevea brasiliensis (rubber tree). Lineage: Eukaryota; Viridiplantae; Streptophyta; Magnoliopsida; Malpighiales; Euphorbiaceae. The record is from RNAcentral.